AUUGGUUUAAUUUCAGCCAUAAAAAUACAGCAAAAAAUCCACAUAUAACAGUUAUAUGCAUAAGUAUAAGUAGGCAAGGCAAUAGCCUAUUAUUUAGUGGAUAAUCUUUAUUAGUUUAAUUAAUAAACUUAAGUUUUUUGUUAACAUUAGGAAAAGUCACAGUGCCAGCAUCCGCGGUUAUUCUGUUUAGUGUUAUUUUAAAAUAUAAAUAUUGUUAUGUAUAUUCUAUUAUUUAGGUAAAAUAUUAAUAAUAGUCUAUUAGUUCAUAACUUUAAAUUUAAAUAAGUUAUUAAGAAUGAGAUUAGAUACCUCAGUAUUACUUAUAUAUUAAAGUUUAGUUAAACUAAAGAAAUUUGGCAGUCUUUUAUUCUCUACUGGGGGUUGUGUGUGUUAAAGGAUGUUCCACCAAUAAAUUUACCUUAGUUAUAUGUAGGUGUACGUCUGAUUAAAUAUUAAUAUAAAGAUAUAUUAGUAUAACAAAAGUUUGUUUAAGUCAAGUCUAUGUGCCACUAUACUAAGGUUCACAUGCUACACAUUAAUAAAUUAAAUAUUUAUAAAAAUUUUAUGUUUAGGACUAGUGAGUAUACACUAUAUUUAGCAGUGUAUAAAAGAGUUUAAUAGAGGUACAUACCGCCCGUCAAUCUCGGUUUUCACUGAGAUAAGUCGUAACAUGGCAGCUUAUGGGGAACCAGAAGCUUGUAAA
This 703-nucleotide non-coding RNA is filed under the name Gyrodactylus sp. FY-2015. The record is from RNAcentral. Lineage: Eukaryota; Metazoa; Platyhelminthes; Monogenea; Gyrodactylidea; Gyrodactylidae.